AUUGAACGCUGGCGGAAUGCUUUACACAUGCAAGUCGAACGGCAGCACGGGGGCAACCCUGGUGGCGAGUGGCGAACGGGUGAGUAAUACAUCGGAACGUGCCCAGUCGUGGGGGAUAACGUAGCGAAAGCUACGCUAAUACCGCAUACGAUCUACGGAUGAAAGCGGGGGAUCGCAAGACCUCGCGCGAUUGGAGCGGCCGAUGGCAGAUUAGGUAGUUGGUGGGGUAAAGGGACUCACCAAGCCGACGAUCUGUAGCUGGUCUGAGAGGACGACCAGCCACACUGGGACUGAGACACGGUCCAGACUCCUACGGGAGGCAGCAGUGGGGGAAUUUUGGUACAAUGGGCGCAAGCCUGAUCCAGCCAUUCCGCGUGCAGGAUGAAGGCCUUC
RNAcentral lists this ribosomal RNA (393 nucleotides) under uncultured bacterium. RNAcentral describes it as "bacterial SSU rRNA". It matches the Rfam family "Bacterial small subunit ribosomal RNA", at positions 29 to 419 of the family's 1533-position model. The record is from RNAcentral.